AUUGAACGCUGGCGGCAGGCCUAACACAUGCAAGUCGAGCGGAUGAAGGGAGCUUGCUCCUGGAUUCAGCGGCGGACGGGUGAAUAAUGCCUAGGAAUCUGCCUGGUAGUGGGGGAUAACGUCCGGAAACGGGCGCUAAUACCGCAUACGUCCUGAGGGAGAAAGUGGGGGAUCUUCGGACCUCACGCUAUCAGAUGAGCCUAGGUCGGAUUAGCUAGUUGGUGGGGUAAAGGCCUACCAAGGCGACGAUCCGUAACUGGUCUGAGAGGAUGAUCAGUCACACUGGAACUGAGACACGGUCCAGACUCCUACGGGAGGCAGCAGUGGGGAAUAUUGGACAAUGGGCGAAAGCCUGAUCCAGCCAUGCCGCGUGUGUGAAGAAGGUCUCCGGAUUGUAAAGCACUUUAAGUUGGGAGGAAGGGCAGUAAGUUAAUACCUUGCUGUUUUGACGUUACCAACAGAAUAAGCACCGGCUAACUUCGUG
RNAcentral lists this ribosomal RNA (484 nucleotides) under uncultured bacterium. RNAcentral's name for it is "partial 16S ribosomal RNA". It matches the Rfam family "Bacterial small subunit ribosomal RNA", at positions 30 to 507 of the family's 1533-position model. The record is from RNAcentral.